This 450-nucleotide ribosomal RNA is filed under the name uncultured bacterium. RNAcentral's name for it is "bacterial SSU rRNA". It matches the Rfam family "Bacterial small subunit ribosomal RNA", at positions 354 to 796 of the family's 1533-position model. The record is from RNAcentral.
GUGGGGAAUAUUGGACAAUGGGCGAAAGCCUGAUCCAGCCAUGCCGCGUGUGUGAAGAAGGUCUUCGGAUUGUAAAGCACUUUAAGUUGGGAGGAAGGGCAGUAAGUUAAUACCUUGCUGUUUUGACGUUACCGACAGAAUAAGCACCGGCUAACUUCGUGCCAGCAGCCGCGGUAAUACGAAGGGUGCAAGCGUUAAUCGGAAUUACUGGGCGUAAAGCGCGCGUAGGUGGUUUUGUAAGUUGGAGGUGAAAUCCCCGGGCUGAACCUGGGAACUGACUCCAAAACUGCAUGACUAGAGUACGGUAGAGGGUAGUGGAAUUUCCUGUGUAGCGGUGAAAUGCGUAGAUAUAGGAAGGAACACCAGUGGGGAAGGCGACUACCUGGACUGAUACUGACACUGAGGUGCGAAAGCGUGGGGAGCAAACAGGAUUAGAAACCCCUGUAGUCC